ACACCUGAGAAACGUACACACACACCACACCGAGCACACCUGAGAAACGUACACACACCACACCGAGCUCACCUGAGAAAUUUGGCUGAACAGCUGAUGUAUCAGGCUGAUAAGCUGCGUGCAAUACUGUCGCACAGGAGUGUAGAGUCUGCCGGUUAAAAACACCAGCGUGUGUGACGAUGCCUCGGGGCUCACCUCUCCGCCCUGAAAGAUCUCUCUUAUCCCCAAAACAUGAGCCGUCCAGACCGGAGGUAAGAACCAAGGACGUCAACAUAUCUACCCCCUCAACCAAUGAGCAGUAAUGUUAUCUGCCCCCUCAACCAAUGAGCAGUAACGUUAUCUGCCCCUCAACCAAUGAGCAGUAACGUUACUGCCAAAGAGAAGCAAGCAGACUUUAAAGUGGCUCUACCCAUGCUGAGAAAAGCUGAGAGCCAGAGAGGGUAAGUAUUUCAUAUCACCGUAAUGAAGUCAUCAGAGGAGUGCAGCUUUGAGUUACACACUUAGCAUUUCAAAUGGGCAGCUGAGAUCAUUUGACUACCUUUUAGUGAUCUUAUUUUGUCACAAGCUUUUUUUUUAGCAAGCUAAAAGCCUAAUUAGCACUGCUAAAUCCUGCGCUAACUACUUUCUGUUGAGUGUGCAGACACUGUCCUUCCGCAGGAGUGUAUGGAAAUGAGUGAACUGAAUACAUGCUGUUCCCACAGAUGGUCAUUUCCUUAUUAAACUUAUCAGAUAACCAUGAGUGCUUUCUCUGAGAGCUCAAAAAGUACAGAUCCCAUGCUGAGCAGGACUGUUACCUGAUGUCCAUACGCCAGACGUGUGUCCAGGUACAUGAGCCAUCAAGACCUCCCAAGCCUUACAUAAGUAUUUUAUCUGUAUAUUAGUUAGUCAGACCAAUAAUCAAGUGUCACAUAUAUAAUACAUAUAGUGUGACAUAUAUAUACACAGUACAGACCAUCCUCCACAGGGAUAUUAAUGUAAUGUCAGAUUUGCAAUCCUAGCAGUAGCAAUCGACCUGCAACAAUGCCUGACUACAACAUGUGACCUACCAACCCUUCAACCUGACUGAGAAGUCCCUGUUUAUUCAGUGGACUGUGUAUGAAGUGGACUGUGUAGGAAAAUAAUGGUCAGACACAUCACAUGCUGUGUCUAGUAACAAAUAAACAUUUGCAUGGUGUCGAGAGGUUUGCAUAGCUCAGCAGGUGGUGCUACAUUAUGGCGUACAUACAGACAGAACCUGGUGGUGCCCUACCUGCCUAUGCUGUUUACUGAAGAGAGAUGAAUGAAAACAUUAUAAUAAAUCCAUUUCAUAACAUCUGA
Molecule: long non-coding RNA, 1317 nt
Organism: Alosa alosa (allis shad)
Lineage: Eukaryota; Metazoa; Chordata; Actinopteri; Clupeiformes; Clupeidae
Exons: 2
Source: RefSeq, a predicted model, not a curated record